CCAAUGGCCCUGGACCAGUGUCUGUCAGCCAGGUUCCCAGCCCCCGAUGCGCUGAAGCUCAAGCCUUUCCUGGCACCCUGGUCUCCUGCACUGAGCUGUGUGAGCUCUUCGGCCCAAGUGGUCCCCCCGGCCUUAAGCGGCAUAGAUGGUGAGCCUGGAGGAAGACUCGUGUUGGGCCCACAGGCCCCAGGCCAGUGUACGUCAGCCAGGUGCUCAGCCCAUGGUGUGCUGAAGCUCUGACCCUUCCUGACUCCGUGGUCUCCUGCACUGAGCUGUGAUGACCAUAUCCAGUGAGCUCUUCCAAACAGGUGGGCUCCCUAGCAUUGACCGACAGAGUGAGCUCUGCCACCCAGGACAUCCCCCUGGCAUUGACUGGCAUAGAUGCUGACCCUGGAGGAAGACUUGUGUCGGGCCCCCAGGCCCCAGGCCAGUGUCCAUCAGCCAGGUGCUCAGCUCCCAGUGCGCUGAAGCUCAGACCCUUCCUGGCACCCUGGUGUCCAGCACUGAGCUGUGUGAGCUUUUCCACCCAGGUGGGCCCCCUGGCAUUGACCGACAUAGAUGAUGAGACUGGAGGAAGACUUCCAUUGGGCCCACUUUUCCUGGGCCAGUGUCCAUCAGCCAGGUGCUCAGCCCCUGGUGUACUGAAGCUCCAGCCUUUCCUGGUGCCCCAGUCUUCUGCACUAAGCUGUGUGAGCUCUUCCACCCAGGAGGGCCCCUUGGCAUUGACUGGCAUAGAUGGUGAGACGGGAGGAAGACUUGUGUUGGGCCUGCUGUUCCUGGGCCAGUGGCCAUCAGCCUGUUGCCCAGCCCCUGAGGCGCUGAAGCUCAGGCCCUUCCUCACACCCUGGUCUCCUGCACUAGCUGUGUGAGCUCUUCUGCCCAGGUGGGGCCCAUGGCCUUACACGACAUAGGAGCACGCAUUUCUUGAAGUCCUGCAAAGGUGAUGGUGGUCCAGACAGGAGAGGGUUCCUUCAGCCCAACAUAGCGCAGCUCCCAGCUGAAACUCGGAAGGCUGGUCAGGCCUCGAGGACUGCCCAGGCCACAUGAGGGUUUGGUGGCCGGGAGGGCCAAUGAUGCUCUGCGUCUGUGUUGGAUCAGUGUUCUUCAUGGAUUCCAUCACAUGGUGAGCCUUGAGGAAGACUUGUAUUGGGCCCCCACAGGCCCCAGGCCAGUGUCCGUCAGCCUGGUGCUCACCCCCAGUGUGCUGAAGCUCAGACCCUCCGUGGCACCCUGGUCUCCUGCACUGAGCUGUGUGAACUUUUCCUCCCAGAUGGGCCCCCUGGCAUUGACUGGCAUAGAUGGUGAGACCGGAGGAAGACUUGCAUUGGGCCUGUUGUUCCUGGGCCAGUGGCCAUCAGCCUGUUGCCCAGCCCCUGAUGCGCUGAAGCUCGGGCCCUUCCUCGCGCCCUGGUCUCCUGCACUGAGCUGUGUGAGCUCUUCUGCCCAGGUGAGGCCCAUGGCCUUAAGCGGCAUAGAUGGUGAGUCUGGAGGAAGACUUGUGUUGGACCCCCACAGGCCCCAGGCCAGUGUCCAUCAGCCUGGUGCUAAUCCCCCAGUGCUCUGGAGUUUGGACCCUCCCUGGCACCCUGGUCUCCUGCACUGAGCUGUGUGAGCUCUUCCACCCGGGCGGGCCCCCGGCAUUGACUGGCAUAGGUGGUGAGCCCGGAGGAGGACUUGCGUUCGGCCCGCUGGUCCCAGUGUGUCCGGAAUUGGUGGGUUCUUGGUCUCACUGACUUCAAGAAUGAAGCUGCGGACCCUCGCUAUGAUGAUAUGGAAGAAAAGCACUCUUUGGCCUGUUGUGACUGGGACAGUUGACAGCACCCAGGUGUCCUUUAAUGAAAAUGCUCUUGACACCAAUGCAUCCUAGCAUCACAGCUUCAGGAAGCCUUCUCAAGUGUGCAUGGGGAGUACUAUGUCUUUCAUCAAUAAUGAAAUCUUCUGAUUUGUAAGACAUGCUGCCAAGAGAUGUGCCAUUCUAUUAUAAAAGAUCAGUAGCUUCCUUUACCGACGUGUAUAUUCUAUCUAGAACAUUGAGCUAUGGAAGACUCCCACCUAAGGGAAUUAGUUUUACACCUUCAGAUAAAGACUGCUGAGAAGAGCACCCUCUGGUGUUGUCACAGAGGCAAGUGCUACCGCACAGGCAUGCUGCAGUGAAUUUAACUGAUCCUCUGUCCCUGCAACCGUUGUUUAAGGAUGCUAUUCUGAAAAGACUGUGGAGGAAGAAAACCCUUUACCCUGUUGUUCAGGGAGAAACUGACACCACUCAACUGCCUGGCACUGAAAAUGUGGCAUCCAGUCCACUUUACCAUCAGUGUUUAAGGAAACCAUCUCUGAUAAGGAUGACUGAGGAAGAGUACUCUUUGGCUUGUUGACACCAGCACAGCUGACACACCCAGAUAUCUGUUUGGUCUCCUGUGAACUUUCAACCAGGAUUUAAGGAUGCCACUCUGGUUAAAAGCUGAAACAACUUCAAGGAAACUUCAGGGAAAAGAGAAGGCCUGGAAUCUGAUCCUCCACUUCAGAGAACAGGGGUGGUGGAGUCUAUGGCCCUUCUCCUUGAAUCUGAGUGAAAUUAGUGAGUCUUUCAAUCCAAAGACUACAGUCAUACCUCAACUAUCUACAGAGGACUGGUUCCAGGACUCCCAUGGAUCCCAAAAUCCAAGGAUGCUUCGAAUCCCUUAUAUAAAAUGGCAUGGUAUUUGCAUAUAACCUACAUGCAUCUUCAAAUAUGUUAAACCAUCUCUAGAUUACUUAUAAUACCAAAUACAAUGUAAUGCUAUGUAAACAGUUGUUACAAUGUAUUGUCAAAGACAAGCUCUCCUUGCCAAUCCCUGACCAAAUGAGAGAUUCAUGAGCAAAAUAAAUAGUUGCUGAUAUUUAAGGCACUAAGUUUGGGGCAAUGUAUUACACAGCAAUAAAUAACUGGAACAGCAUAGUAAAUUCUAGUUAAAAAUACUAAACUACUAAGUUUUAGUUAACAUACAUGCUCAAGUUAAGGGUGUGGUAUACUAACAACUGCAACUUACUUUGAAAAGCAUAAAAAAAGACACUAGAAGAAGACAGGAUGGAUAGAUGGACAAGAUAGAAGACAAUAACAAAUAGAACAAAAUGUUGUGAAAUUAUAUUCUACAAUUAUUUUAAAGUCUGUGUGGUUUGAAAAAUUGUACGAUAAAAUGAAGAGUGAAAUAAAGACAUUUCCAUACAAACAAAAGCUGAAAGAUUUUGUAGCCAGUAGACCUAUACUUUAGAAAUGUUUAAGAAAUUUUUUCAAGUAAAAGGAAAAUAACACCAGCAACAAACUUGGAUCUACAAAAAGGAAUCUCCACAAAGAAAAAUAAAUAAAAAUGGUAAAUAUGAAGGUAAAUAUAAAGGAAUGUUAUUCUUAGUUUUUAAGUUUCUUCGUAAGACAACUGGCCUUUGAAAGAAAUAGUUUCAAACGCUGCUGUGGAAUCUAUAACACAUAUAGAAGUAAAAUGUUAAGAUCAUAAUACCAAAAAGAAUGAGGGAGAGUAAAUGGAUGUAUACUAUUCCAAAAUUCUUACAUUAUACAUUAAGAGGAAUAAUAUUUUUGAAGGUAGAUUGAGGUAAGUUAAAGGUGCAUAUUGUAAAUCCUAGAAGUAUCACUGGGGGGAAAAAAAACAGAGGGACAAGCUAAUAAUGGAGACAAUACAAAAUUCCAAAAAUGCUCCAUUAACCGAAAAGAAGGCAGAAAAGGAAGAAAAGAUUAGACAAAUAGAAAACAAAUAGUGUCUUAAACACAAUUAUAUUGCCAACUGCAAUAAAUGUAAAUGGACUUAAUCAAAAAGCAACGAUCGUAAAAAGUCAAUCUGAAAGCAAGAUGCAACUAUAUGCUAUCUAAAAGAAAGACAUUAAAUGACCAAUAAGCUGAAAAUAAAAACACAGCAAAAUGAUAUAAUGUGCAAAAAUUAAUCAUAAGAAAGGAAUGGAUACACUAAUAUCAAAGUAGACUUUAGAUAAGGAACAUUACCAGCGAUAAACAGAGACAUUUCAUAAUGAUAAAGACAUCAAUUAAUCAAGGAGAUCUAACAGUCCUAAAUGUGAACACACCUAAGGACACAA
RNAcentral lists this long non-coding RNA (4080 nucleotides) under Homo sapiens (human). RNAcentral's name for it is "small nucleolar RNA host gene 14". The record is from RNAcentral. Lineage: Eukaryota; Metazoa; Chordata; Mammalia; Primates; Hominidae.